This 77-nucleotide transfer RNA is filed under the name Candidatus Gottesmanbacteria bacterium RIFOXYB1_FULL_47_11. RNAcentral's name for it is "tRNA-Glu". It matches the Rfam family "tRNA". From Rfam's summary of the family: Transfer RNA (tRNA) molecules are approximately 80 nucleotides in length. Lineage: Bacteria; Candidatus Gottesmaniibacteriota. The record is from RNAcentral.
GCCCCCAUCGUCUAGCGGCCUAGGACGACGCCUUCUCAAGGCGUAGAUCGCCGGUUCGAAUCCGGCUGGGGGUACAA